Molecule: non-coding RNA, 21 nt
Filed under: Caenorhabditis elegans
Lineage: Eukaryota; Metazoa; Nematoda; Chromadorea; Rhabditida; Rhabditidae
Source: RNAcentral
UUUUCUUUUUUGUAAUCAAUU